RNAcentral lists this ribosomal RNA (253 nucleotides) under uncultured bacterium. RNAcentral describes it as "partial 16S ribosomal RNA". It matches the Rfam family "Bacterial small subunit ribosomal RNA", at positions 524 to 776 of the family's 1533-position model. The record is from RNAcentral.
GACGGGGGGGGCAAGUGUUAAUCGGAAUUACUGGGCGUAAAGCGCACGCAGGCGGUCUGUCAAGUCGGAUGUGAAAUCCCCGGGCUCAACCUGGGAACUGCAUUCGAAACUGGCAGGCUGGAGUCUCGCAGAGGGAGGUAGAAUUCCAGGUGUAGCGGUGAAAUGCGUAGAGAUCUGGAGGAAUACCGGUGGCGAAGGCGGCCUCCUGGACGAAGACUGACGCUCAGGUGCGAAAGCGUGGGGAGCAAACAGG